AAAUUGAAGAGUUUGAUCAUGGCUCAGAUUGAACGCUGGCGGCAGGCCUAACACAUGCAAGUCGAGCGGUAGCACAGAGAGCUUGCUCUCGGGUGACGAGCGGCGGACGGGUGAGUAAUGUCUGGGAAACUGCCUGAUGGAGGGGGAUAACUACUGGAAACGGUAGCUAAUACCGCAUAAUGUCGCAAGACCAAAGUGGGGGACCUUCGGGCCUCAUGCCAUCAGAUGUGCCCAGAUGGGAUUAGCUAGUAGGUGGGGUAACGGCUCACCUAGGCGACGAUCCCUAGCUGGUCUGAGAGGAUGACCAGCCACACUGGAACUGAGACACGGUCCAGACUCCUACGGGAGGCAGCAGUGGGGAAUAUUGCACAAUGGGCGCAAGCCUGAUGCAGCCAUGCCGCGUGUGUGAAGAAGGCCUUCGGGUUGUAAAGCACUUUCAGCGGGGAGGAAGGCGGUGAGGUUAAUAACCUCAUCGAUUGACGUUACCCGCAGAAGAAGCACCGGCUAACUCCGUGCCAGCAGCCGCGGUAAUACGGAGGGUGCAAGCGUUAAUCGGAAUUACUGGGCGUAAAGCGCACGCAGGCGGUCUGUCAAGUCGGAUGUGAAAUCCCCGGGCUCAACCUGGGAACUGCAUUCGAAACUGGCAGGCUAGAGUCUUGUAGAGGGGGGUAGAAUUCCAGGUGUAGCGGUGAAAUGCGUAGAGAUCUGGAGGAAUACCGGUGGCGAAGGCGGCCCCCUGGACAAAGACUGACGCUCAGGUGCGAAAGCGUGGGGAGCAAACAGGAUUAGAUACCCUGGUAGUCCACGCCGUAAACGAUGUCGAUUUGGAGGUUGUGCCCUUGAGGCGUGGCUUCCGGAGCUAACGCGUUAAAUCGACCGCCUGGGGAGUACGGCCGCAAGGUUAAAACUCAAAUGAAUUGACGGGGGCCCGCACAAGCGGUGGAGCAUGUGGUUUAAUUCGAUGCAACGCGAAGAACCUUACCUGGUCUUGACAUCCACAGAACUUUCCAGAGAUGGAUUGGUGCCUUCGGGAACUGUGAGACAGGUGCUGCAUGGCUGUCGUCAGCUCGUGUUGUGAAAUGUUGGGUUAAGUCCCGCAACGAGCGCAACCCUUAUCCUUUGUUGCCAGCGGUUCGGCCGGGAACUCAAAGGAGACUGCCAGUGAUAAACUGGAGGAAGGUGGGGAUGACGUCAAGUCAUCAUGGCCCUUACGACCAGGGCUACACACGUGCUACAAUGGCAUAUACAAAGAGAAGCGACCUCGCGAGAGCAAGCGGACCUCAUAAAGUAUGUCGUAGUCCGGAUUGGAGUCUGCAACUCGACUCCAUGAAGUCGGAAUCGCUAGUAAUCGUAGAUCAGAAUGCUACGGUGAAUACGUUCCCGGGCCUUGUACACACCGCCCGUCACACCAUGGGAGUGGGUUGCAAAAGAAGUAGGUAGCUUAACCUUCGGGAGG
This 1456-nucleotide ribosomal RNA is filed under the name Klebsiella pneumoniae. RNAcentral's name for it is "bacterial SSU rRNA". It matches the Rfam family "Bacterial small subunit ribosomal RNA". Lineage: Bacteria; Pseudomonadati; Pseudomonadota; Gammaproteobacteria; Enterobacterales; Enterobacteriaceae. The record is from RNAcentral.